UGUCCGCGAUGCACCUCGGCUCGGCUCUCUCUUUCCCAUCUCACUUGUGACUUUUCCACAUGAGGCCAGGACCUGGAGUGUCGAAUUCGUGAAUUAGUGCCCAUGUAUUCGCUGACUUCCUUCAAAAUUCGCCGUAAAAGCAUUCAGUAAUCUAUUCGUGGAUAAAUCGAGAAAACAGAUUUGACGUUUGCGGUCGUCCGAAAAGGAAAGGAGGAGGCGAGAGAGAACGGCCAGCGGCGGCGUGUGAGCGGACCCGAAGAAGCAGCGACAAAGCAAAGCGGAAAGUGAACCGCGGAGAACCGGAGGAAGGCAACGGAGUGUCCAGCGGUGACAGUGACAGCAGGGCGACAGCGGCUGAAAAGGACUUGUGUCGGUUGCGAGGACGAGUGAGCGGAGGCCUGCGUGCGUGAUCGGCGCUGUUUCGGCCCUUGAUUGACGUUCUCACCCCGGAUCGGGCCGCGUCGGCACCCGAGUCCGCUGACGGCCAUAUUUUGCCACGAGAGCUUUCUCGCCGUCGACGUUCUCAACCCAAUUUCCCCGUCUCCGUCGAACCGUCGGCGCUCGCGUACACUCCGCAUCGACGGCGACACACGGCACUUUUGUAAUUUACAUAGCACACAUCGACUUACUCGCUCACGUCUUGAUCGCUCCGUAAUCGCAGUGAUUUUGGAAAUUCGCAAAAAUGUCGAACGAAGAAACGUCAGCAGAUCGCAAUGUGGAAAUCUGGAAAAUCAAGAAACUCAUCAAGAGUUUAGAAAUGGCUCGCGGAAAUGGCACAAGCAUGAUAUCAUUAAUUAUUCCACCUAAAGAUCAAAUUUCCCGUGUAAGCAAAAUGUUAGCUGAUGAAUUUGGUACUGCAUCGAAUAUAAAAUCUCGCGUGAACAGACUUUCUGUCUUGGGUGCCAUUACCUCCGUACAGCAUCGACUAAAACUGUACACCAAAGUGCCUCCAAACGGUUUAGUAAUUUAUUGUGGCACUAUCGUCACAGAAGAAGGAAAGGAGAAAAAAGUCAAUAUAGAUUUCGAACCAUUUAAGCCAAUUAAUACUUCACUUUAUCUGUGCGACAACAAAUUUCAUACUGAAGCAUUAACGGCGCUUUUGGCAGAUGAUAAUAAAUUCGGUUUUAUAGUUAUGGAUGGUAAUGGCGCUCUAUUCGGUACACUCCAGGGAAAUACCAGAGAAGUUUUGCAUAAAUUCACAGUAGACUUGCCGAAGAAACACGGUCGUGGUGGUCAGUCAGCACUUCGUUUUGCCCGUCUGCGUAUGGAAAAGAGGCACAAUUACGUUCGAAAAGUGGCGGAAGUGGCAACACAAUUAUUUAUCACAAACGAUAAGCCAAACAUAGCAGGACUAAUUUUGGCUGGUAGUGCUGAUUUCAAAACUGAAUUGAGUCAAUCGGACAUGUUUGAUCCUAGGUUGCAAAGUAAAAUUAUCAAACUGGUGGAUGUAUCUUAUGGCGGCGAAAAUGGAUUCAAUCAAGCAAUAGAGUUGGCAGCUGAAUCAUUACAAAACGUGAAAUUCAUUCAAGAGAAGAAACUAAUCGGCCGAUACUUUGAUGAAAUUUCUCAGGAUACGGGGAAAUACUGUUUUGGUGUUGAGGAUACUCUACGAGCAUUGGAACUUGGUGCUGUAGAGACUUUAAUUUGCUGGGAAAACUUGGACAUUCAACGAUAUGUUUUAAAAAAUCAUGCGAACUCAACAUCGACCACAGUAUUACAUCUGACGCCCGAACAAGAAAAAGACAAGUCUCAUUUCACGGACAAAGAGAGUGGGGUUGAAAUGGAAUUGGUGGAAUCCCAACCGUUGCUUGAAUGGCUUGCGAACAACUACAAGAGUUUCGGUGCUACACUGGAAAUUAUCACGGAUAAAUCACAAGAAGGUAGUCAAUUUGUGAGAGGAUUCGGUGGUAUCGGAGGAAUUUUGCGUUAUAAGGUAGAUUUUCAGUCACUACAAGCCGAUGAGCCAUUGGAUGAUGUUGACCUCGAUGACUACUAAGCAUUUGAGAGAAGGAAGAGAGGUCAUUACAGUGAAAGUACAUCAAACAUUUAAUUUCACCUUAUAUCAUAAUCGCGAUACGAAAUAAUCGUUUUAAAUAUUUUCAAGAGAAAAAACAAACACAAUGAUUGAGAAAAGUAUUUUACGUUACAAGGUAGACUUCCAGAGCAUGCAACUAGAUGAUAUUGAUAAUGACUAUUAUGACUUAGAUAGCUAUUAGAGAAACAAAAAGAAGCAAACAAAAUAAAAGAAUGGUAAUAAUACCUCAAAUUAUUCGCAGCAAAAUGAAGAAGACAAAACGAAUGAAACCAUUACAUGAGAUAAUAGUAAAUGGAAAAUAUGUUUAACAGUAAUUUUGAAUGCAACAGCAAGAAUGAAAAAAAAAAUGAAAGAAAACCAACAAAAGAGAAAACUAUAUAUGGAAACAGAUCUUAUUUACUACUAUACUAUAUAAUUGAUAAAAAUAUAUAAACCAUUUUUUUAACGUUUUGGUGUAUUUGUGCCUGACGCCUACACGUGUUCCAACACAACAACAAACGACAGUUUGCAAUAUGUUCAAUAAUUUUUCUUUUUCGAUUUUAUUUUACCAUCCUCUUACCUGUAGCUAUAUUAACUGAAAUAUCGAAAAGAGCAAAACUAGAAGGAAUCCGAAAUAAAAGAAACAAUUCAAAUAAUUCUCGAACCAAUUUUUUUUUUCUUUUCUAAACGGCGCAAUUUUCACAAUUAGACUUUUCCCCGCUCUUUCUUUUAACUUCACAACAUCCAAUACUCCCUCUCUCGAAUAUCUCCUUUUUCUUGUAUGAUUAAAUGUUCCAAUUAGAGCACAUUCAGAUAUGUAGCGUAUGUGUAUGCAAGUGAAAAAUGAAAACGAAGGGUUUUCUGCCCCUUAUCUAAUCAUUUCGAAGUAAAGUGGUGUAAAAUAUAUUUAUUAUUCGAAAUUGAACGGAUUAGUUUUAAUACUUAAUUUAUUUGUGGCUGGAGAUGUCGACGACAAGGAACCCUUCGUGCGGUUCGUCUCAGCCCAUUUCAAUGGCAAUGAUCUGUUGGUAAUUUCGACUUCUGUUGCAUGCAGCCGUCUUGUCUCGGGCGGUUCAGUGAAGUCUCGUCGGUAGCGGAAACAAUACGGUCCUCAAUGGCUAACAUUAUUCUGAUCCAUUUGAAGAUGCUUAGGUUUUCCCUUGAGUGACAAAACUCCUGGGCCAAAUUUUAAUGUAAUGUCGCAAUCGUAUGGGGUUCAGUGCAAAACUUUCAUUAUAGAAUGAAUUUACAUGGCCCAAACUUGAUUUUAAGUCAUUUUACAUGGUAAGGUAGCAUUUGAGAUUAAUUUUGAACGAAAAAUAUGCAGUGAAAGGCAGGCUACAUCUGGCUUAUGAAUCAUUUCCAUCCGAGCAAUAGGUGUAGUUUCCGUUGCGAUUCCAUUCCCUAUUAUUACUUUCAAUACCAAUCUACAAUGUUACGCAUGAGAAUUUUUUCGAAGAAUACUAUUUCAGAUUAUAGAGUUAAAUUAGUGUCGCCAAUAAUGUGUUUUCAGUCUUUGAGGCAGCGGUUGUUCGAAUACAGAUUUUACACGAAAUUUUCAGUUUCUCACAUUUCCAUAUAGUCCGAGCUAUCCCUGAAAAGAAUAUUUUUCCAAAAACAAAACUACAAAAUUAAACUGUACGAACCUAUGAAUGCAAUAUAUUCGUUCGUCACUGUAAUAGUUGUAUUUAUAGGUUGAAUGUGUGAAUAAUAUAUUACAAAUAUACUGAUUUUUGUGAUGUACUCGAUUAAUUUUAAAUCUGAACUUUAUAAAUAUACGAUUAAUUUAACUAAGA
Molecule: unclassified non-coding RNA, 3810 nt
Filed under: Hermetia illucens (black soldier fly)
Lineage: Eukaryota; Metazoa; Arthropoda; Insecta; Diptera; Stratiomyidae
Description: eukaryotic peptide chain release factor subunit 1, transcript variant X1
Source: RNAcentral